GUCACCACGAACAAAUUUCCUUUUCAUAUACUGAUUUGUUUUUAUCAGUCGGUCUCUGGGUCAAACUUCGUCCUCCUGCAUCCGCAGGAAGGUUUUCCUUCUGGGGGUGUAAUCGCUGCUUUUCGUCUUCUCCGUUCAAUCGUACGUCACUAUUUAAAGCUUUUAUGGGUCCUUUUUUUGUUGUUGAAAAGUUGUUAGCUUUUGGUUAAAACUUCUGAUGAUUCUCCCUCGAGACACCGUGCUCCGGCUAAUAUACUGUUGAUAUCGGGCGAUGGAGGUUUCGCAUUCACGAUUCAGCUCCUUACUCAAAGAGGCUACAACUGUAUGCUCUCCUACAUCAGUGCCUCAGCUUCAAAUCUGCUUGUCGGACUUGGGAGCAUGCACUCGGAAUGGAGGACUCUCCUUCGCAUGUGAUGGAUGAUGGUGAGCUCAGGUUGAUCGGAAAAAUAAGAGUCUCUGGUUUAGAAUAUCUCAGCCGGUUUAAUAAUUGAUAAUGUGAUUUCGUAUUCAACAUUACGUAAGGCUACUUUACCCAUUUGGGGGAAUAACUCUGAAGAGAUUAUU
This is a long non-coding RNA of Camelina sativa (false flax), 564 nucleotides long. RefSeq lists it as uncharacterized. The record is from RefSeq and is a predicted model, not a curated record. NCBI's taxonomy places the organism in Eukaryota, Viridiplantae, Streptophyta, Magnoliopsida, Brassicales, Brassicaceae.